Potamilus streckersoni is the source of this 67-nucleotide non-coding RNA. Lineage: Eukaryota; Metazoa; Mollusca; Bivalvia; Unionida; Unionidae. The record is from the annotation of a GenBank genome assembly.
GUGGUCUAGUGGUUAGAGCGUCCGCCAGGAAUGUUGGAGGUCCUGGGUUCGAUCCCCGGUCUAGUCA